ACUCCUACGGGAGGCAGCAGUGGGGAAUUUUGGACAAUGGGCGCAAGCCUGAUCCAGCCAUGCCGCGUGAGUGAAGAAGGCCUUCGGGUUGUAAAGCUCUUUCGGCAGGAACGAAAUGGUUCGUGCUAAUACCACGGACUGAUGACGGUACCUGAAGAAGAAGCACCGGCUAACUACGUGCCAGCAGCCGCGGUAAUACGUAGGGUGCAGGCGUUAAUCGGAAUUACUGGGCGUAAGGCGUGCGCAGGCGGUUUCUUAAGUCAGAUGUGAAAGCCCCGGGCUUAACCUGGGAACUGCGUUUGAAACUGGGAGACUUGAGUGUGGCAGAGGGGGGUGGAAUUCCACGUGUAGCAGUGAAAUGCGUAGAUAUGUGGAGGAACACCGAUGGCGAAGGCAGCCCCCUGGGCUAACACUGACGCUCAUGCACGAAAGCGUGGGGAGCAAACAGGAUUAGAUACCCUGGUAGUCCACGCCCUAAACUAUGUCAACUGGUUGUCGGGGGAUUAACUCCCUUGGUAACGAAGCUAACGCGUGAAGUUGACCGCCUGGGGAGUACGGCCGCAAGGUUAAAACUCAAAGGAAUUGACGGGGACCCGCACAAGCGGUGGAUUAUGUGGAUUAAUUCGAUGCAACGCGAAAAACCUUACCUACCCUUGACAUGUACGGAAUCUCUCAGAGAUGGGAGAGUGCCCGAAAGGGAACCGUAACACAGGUGCUGCAUGGCUGUCGUCAGCUCGUGUCGUGAGAUGUUGGGUUAAGUCCCGCAACGAGCGCAACCCUUGUCAUUAGUUGCUACACUUAGUUGGGCACUCUAAUGAGACUGCCGGUGACAAACCGGAGGAAGGUGGGGAUGACGUCAAGUCCUCAUGGCCCUUAUGGGUAGGGCCUCACACGUAAUACAAUGGCCGGUACAGAGGGCUGCCAACCCGCGAGGGGGAGCUAAUCUCAGAAAGCCGGUCGUAGUCCGGAUUGUUCUCUGCAACUCGAGAGCAUGAAGUUGGAAUCGCUAGUAAUCGCGGAUCAGCAUGUCGCGGUGAAUACGUUCCCGGGUCUUGUACACACCGCCCGUCACACCAUGGGAGUGGGUUUCACCAGAAGUAGGUUGCCUAACCGCAAGGAGGGCGCUUACCACGGUGAGAUUCAUGACUGGGGUGAAGUCGUAACAAGGUAGCC
Molecule: ribosomal RNA, 1173 nt
Filed under: uncultured bacterium
Lineage: Bacteria
Description: bacterial SSU rRNA
Rfam family: Bacterial small subunit ribosomal RNA
Source: RNAcentral